AACGAACGCUGGCGGCAUGCCUAACACAUGCAAGUCGAACGAGACCUUCGGGUCUAGUGGCGUACGGGUGCGUAACGCGUGGGAACCUGCCCCUAGGUUCGGAAUAACUCCCCGAAAGGGGUGCUAAUACCGGAUAAUGUCUUCGGACCAAAGAUUUAUCGCCUUUGGAUGGGCCCGCGUUGGAUUAGCUAGUUGGUAGGGUAAAAGCCUACCAAGGCGACGAUCCAUAGCUGGUCUGAGAGGAUGAUCAGCCACACUGGGACUGAGACACGGCCCAGACUCCUACGGGAGGCAGCAGUGGGGAAUAUUGGACAAUGGGCGAAAGCCUGAUCCAGCAAUGCCGCGUGAGUGAUGAAGGCCUUAGGGUUGUAAAGCUCUUUUACCCGGGAUGAUAAUGACAGUACCGGGAGAAUAAGCUCCGGCUAACUCCGUG
This 433-nucleotide ribosomal RNA is filed under the name uncultured bacterium. Its description in RNAcentral is "partial 16S ribosomal RNA". It matches the Rfam family "Bacterial small subunit ribosomal RNA", at positions 29 to 507 of the family's 1533-position model. The record is from RNAcentral.